UACGGAGGGGGCUAGCGUUGUUCGGAAUUACUGGGCGUAAAGCGCACGUAGGCGGUUUUUUAAGUCAGAGGUGAAAGCCCGGAGCUCAACUCCGGAAUUGCCUUUGAGACUGGGAGACUUGAAUCCAGGAGAGGUGAGUGGAAUUCCUAGUGUAGCGGUGAAAUGCGCAGAUAUUAGGAAGAACACCGGUGGCGAAGGCGGCUCUCUGGAACGGUACUGACGCUGAGACGCGAAAGCGUGGGGAGCGAAAGGG
Molecule: ribosomal RNA, 253 nt
Filed under: uncultured bacterium
Lineage: Bacteria
Description: partial 16S ribosomal RNA
Rfam family: Bacterial small subunit ribosomal RNA
Source: RNAcentral